Molecule: long non-coding RNA, 895 nt
Filed under: Bos indicus x Bos taurus (hybrid cattle)
Lineage: Eukaryota; Metazoa; Chordata; Mammalia; Artiodactyla; Bovidae
Description: lncRNA (ENSBIXG00005010527.1)
Source: RNAcentral
CUCUGCGGAGAAGCAUCUUCCGGCUGCUUGCACAGGGUUCAGUUGACGAAGCAGGAGCGGAAGGGAAGCCCGGCGGGGACCGGGCGAGCUCUCCUCUAGCCGGGGCUUCUUCCUGCUCGUGCGCCCCGCCAGGCAAGAGCAGGGUUAAGUGUGUGCGAGGGGGGGGGGGGGGCGGGGGGGGGCGGAGAGGGAAUCCCAGACCGCCGGAACUGGAGACUUCCCAGCCGAGGGCGAAGCGGCCGCGAGAGGCAGCGCCGGCCACCCCGUGGCUUCCGCUGGCACCUGGGCGCGCGGAGUCGGGAGGACACGUCGACAGCCGCCCGCAGGACACGCGGCAGACGCGCCACAGCCACCGCCAGGGCUGACAACAAGCUCUGAGCCGGGAACCUGGGACCUGUGCCGUGACAGGGUCGGCUGGCGGCCCAGAGAGAAGAGCCGUGUGGAGCCGGAGAGGCGGGUGGACCGCACAGCCCUCGAGCGGAGAUACCAGCCUGUGUCCAGGGAUCACAAGUACCCUUUUACUCUGAGAGGGACCCAAUUUGGACUGCACAUUCUCUGGUCUGCAUCGAGGCCAGGAGGGACUGCUCCCUGCCAUCCCCCGCUGAGGGACCCUGUUUCCAGAAACCUUUCCUCCUGGAGCCGACAAAGCAGACGGCAUCCACGUGCUGUCAGGUAGCCCAAGAUCCCUGGCAAUCCUGGGGUCCUUAGAAAACAGUUGGAAUUUUUCUGGCAGUUAUUGUUUUUUAGGAUAGCUGUUUUCACGUGUUUAUGUUGGACCUUUUUAAACGUCAACAAAGGUAGUGAUAAAGGCACCCUGAGCAGCCCAUUGGCCACUGCAGUGGUUACUGACACCUGGUUGCCUGCCCUCCGAGUUAUCCUUGUUGAGUUUCUGAAG